RNAcentral lists this long non-coding RNA (1443 nucleotides) under Amazona collaria (yellow-billed parrot). RNAcentral's name for it is "lncRNA (ENSACOG00000008056.1)". Lineage: Eukaryota; Metazoa; Chordata; Aves; Psittaciformes; Psittacidae. The record is from RNAcentral.
GCAGGGCCGAUGUGCUUGUCCUCUCCUCGCGCUGUGGCAUGUUGCUUUGGGAGCAGUGAGCCGAGCGGCUGCGCUUGCGCUGGUAGCUGCGGGCGGUGGAGGUAAUUGAAGGUGUGCUCUGCUUCUCUCCCCUUUCUCUCUCCCACCAGCCCAAGGUAGUGGUGACUCUCAAUGUGACCUCCCCAGACCUCUUCCGCCUCGUCUUCCGCUACGUCAGCCGGGGGCCCGCCAGUGUGGAAGGGAGGGUCUCGGUCGUUGAGGAAGGAAAGUUUAAUGUUUGUGGCAACUGUACAGAGCAGACCAAGCAGAUUGUCUUUGCUCCCAGCACGGAGCCAGCCUUUGUCACAGUCCCACAGAACAGCUUUGGGGAGCCCUUCGUACUCAACCCCAACACGUGGUCUCUGGUUGUUGAAGCAGAGGGUGUGCUGCUGGUAAGGACCAGCCCCUUUGCUCCAUCCACCACAGGGGCUUCAGCAGCUCCUUGGGGGGGAACAGUGUCCCAAACACAUCCAACUCUCCCAUCUCUCCUCCUAGGACUAUCUGGUUUUGCUACCCAGCUCAUACUAUGAAGCACCAAUACUGCAGCUGAAGGUCACGGAGCCAUGUACCUACCAGCCAGCCCCUGAACAAGCCACCCAGAACUGCCUCCUGUACAAGUUCCUGUCUGUGGAUGGCUUCCCUGCAGUGUCUGGGCUGGAUGCAGUGUGCAGGCUGGACAACCGGUUACCCAGGCUGUGUCCCACAGAGCAGCUCACACCCUCCCAUCCCCGGAUGGCCAUGUGCAGCGGCAGUGAUGUGAGUGGCACUUGUUUCAUCCCUUGCAUGGGCACUGCAGCACUCAUCCCCCUGCUCCAACAUCUGGUUACCAGAAGGGCCUUGCACCUAUGUACCCCCAACUGUGGCCCCAUCAGUUUUGCAUGCCCUGUUCAAGGCACCCCAAAGCAGUGUCUCACAUACAAAGGGCUUGCAAUGCCAUGCCCAUUGUUGUCCCAUUGUGCCCUCAGCUGCAGAGGAGGUUGGUUUGUAGCACGGGCAUCCUUCACUCAUUCACUAUGAGGAGUGGGACAGUAGGCACAAAGUCAUCUCUCUGUCCUCCAGGUGGAAGUCCAGCUGUCCCUGCCUGUUGCCCAGCCUGGGAAAUACGUGCUGGUGGUGGAGUACGCCAACACCAAUGCUUUGCAGACGGUGGGCAUUGCGGUGAGCUCACCGCACUUAGCCAUGCAGCAAGGCACAUUCAUCUUCUACCCAUGUGUCUACAGCACAAGGUGUACCUCAUACCUGCUGCGCAGUUCACCAUGGAGUUCAUCGAGCCGAAGGUGCAUUGCAUCAGUGUCCAUGGCACGUUCUCACCCAACAGGUAAGAGUCUCAGGUCCCUCAGGGUUUUAGCUUGGCUGUUUCCAAAAGCAAGUGUUUCCCCUGCUUCCCUCAGGUUUGGAGCCAUU